Cataglyphis hispanica is the source of this 298-nucleotide long non-coding RNA. RefSeq lists it as uncharacterized. NCBI's taxonomy places the organism in Eukaryota, Metazoa, Arthropoda, Insecta, Hymenoptera, Formicidae. The transcript is spliced from 2 exons. The record is from RefSeq and is a predicted model, not a curated record.
UAGGAGGUUCCUUCUUAUGUGUUAGCAUAUAAUACUGCGCCACAUCAGGUCCAAAGCGCGUAAUCUGCCGAACAAAAUUAGUAUGAUUGGCUUCCUUAACAGCAUUACGUUCUCUGGACAAGAAUGGACAUUGAUUUUGUAUAGACUCUGGAAUUGGUUGAGGCUCCACUGAUUCUGACAUUGUACUGAACAAUCUUGACAAUACUGGACAAUGUUGUCGAUAAUUCAUUAUCAGAGAUGAUCCAUAAUUACGAACAUAAUUCGCAGACAAACGAGUCAAGAAUGGGCACGGCAUGGU